This 506-nucleotide ribosomal RNA is filed under the name uncultured bacterium. Its description in RNAcentral is "partial 16S ribosomal RNA". It matches the Rfam family "Bacterial small subunit ribosomal RNA", at positions 28 to 523 of the family's 1533-position model. The record is from RNAcentral.
GAUGAACGCUAGCGGCAGGCCUAACACAUGCAAGUCGAGGGGCAGCACAGGAAAGUAGUAAUACUUUUGGGUGGCGACCGGCGGACGGGUGCGUAACGCGUAUACAACCUGCCUUCUACUGGGGGAUAAUUCGGAGAAAUCUGGUCUAAUACCCCAUAACAACAGAUGAGGCAUCUCAUUGGUUUAAAAGCUCCGGCGGUAGAAGAUGGGUAUGCGUGACAUUAGAGAGUUGGUGGGGUAACGGCUCACCAAGUCGACGAUGUCCAGGGGGACUGAGAGGUUAGCCCCCCACACUGGUACUGAGACACGGACCAGACUCCUACGGGAGGCAGCAGUGAGGAAUAUUGGUCAAUGGGGGCAACCCUGAACCAGCCAUGCCGCGUGCAGGAAGACGGCUCUAUGAGUUGUAAACUGCUUUUGUACAGGGAUAAAUCGGGGAACGUGUUCCCCGUUGAAGGUACUGUACGAAUAAGGAUCGGCUAACUCCGUGCCAGCCGCCGCCGUAA